RNAcentral lists this unclassified non-coding RNA (201 nucleotides) under Hevea brasiliensis (rubber tree). Lineage: Eukaryota; Viridiplantae; Streptophyta; Magnoliopsida; Malpighiales; Euphorbiaceae. The record is from RNAcentral.
AUAAAAAAAUAAAUAAUAAAAUAUUAUUAAAGGAAUUGUGUUUGAGGAUGUUUUUAAUGAUAAAUGUAGUUUUGUAAAAUUAUUUUAUUUAUUUGUUUUGUUUAAGUUGAAUAAUAUUUUUAUGUAUGUUUAGUAGAUGUUUUUUUAUAUUAAAUGAUUUUUAGAUAUUUUUAUUAAUUAUAUAAAUUUAUUUUGGAAUUG